Molecule: ribosomal RNA, 301 nt
Filed under: uncultured bacterium
Lineage: Bacteria
Description: partial 16S ribosomal RNA
Rfam family: Bacterial small subunit ribosomal RNA
Source: RNAcentral
CAGUAGCCGCGGGAAUACGAAGGGGGCUAGCGUUGUUCGGAAUUACUGGGCGUAAAGGGCGCGUAGGCGGCCAUUCAAGUUAGAUGUGAAAGCCCGGGGCUCAACCUAGGAAUUGCAUUUGAUACUGUUUGGCUUGAGUUCGGGAGAGGUGAGUGGAAUUCCCAGUGUAGAGGUGAAAUUCGUAGAUAUUGGGAAGAACACCAGUGGCGAAGGCGGCUCACUGGACCGACACUGACGCUGAGGCGCGAAAGCGUGGGGAGCAAACAGGAUUAGAUACCCGAGUAGUCCCUGUCUCUUAUAC